AGAACGAACGCUGGCGGCGUACUUAACACAUGCAAGUCGAACGAGAAAGGGCGCUUCGGUGCCUGAGUAAAGUGGCGAACGGGUGCGUAACACGUAAGUAAUCUGCCUUGGGCUCUGGGAUAACUUCUCGAAAGGGGAGCUAAGACUAGAUAGGGUCCCUGAGGCUUAAGUCGCAGGGGGAAAACGGGCCUCUGAUUUAAGCUCGCGGCCCAAGAUGAGCUUGCGUCCCAUUAGCUUGUUGGCAGGGUAAUGGCCUACCAAGGCGACGAUGGGUAGCUGGUCUGAGAGGAUGAUCAGCCACACUGGCACUGAGACACGGGCCAGACUCCUACGGGAGGCAGCAGUGGGGAAUUUUGCGCAAUGGGCGAAAGCCUGACGCAGUAACGCCGCGUGGAGGAUGAAGGCUCUCGGGUCGUAAACUCCUGUCAGGGGGGAAGACGUGAAGGGGAUGAAUAAUCCCUUUUGCAGACGGUACCUCCAAAGGAAGCCCCGGCUAAUUCCGUGCCAGCAGCCGCGGUAAUACGGAAGGGGCAAGCGUUGUUCGGAAUCAUUGGGCGUAAAGGGCGCGUAGGCGGUUUCGUAUGUCCGCUGUGAAAGCACACGGCUCAACCGUGGAGAGUCGGUGGAAACUGCGAAACUUGAGACUGGGAGGGGCUGGUGGAAUUCCCUGUGUAGCGGUGAAAUGCGUAGAUAUGGGGGAGAACACUCGUGGCGAAGGCGGCCAGCUGGACCAGUUCUGACGCUGAGGCGCGACAGCGUGGGGAGCAAACAGGAUUAGAUACCCUGGUAGUCCACGCCGUAAACGACGGGCACUAGGUGUCGGCGGUAUUAAUCCGUCGGUGCCGGCGCUAACGCAGUAAGUGCCCCGCCUGGGGAGUACGGUCGCAAGGCUG
This 893-nucleotide ribosomal RNA is filed under the name uncultured bacterium. Its description in RNAcentral is "bacterial SSU rRNA". It matches the Rfam family "Bacterial small subunit ribosomal RNA", at positions 26 to 896 of the family's 1533-position model. The record is from RNAcentral.